AAUAGGGGAGCCGGAGGGAAACCGAGUCUUAACCGGGCGUUAAGUUGCAGGGUAUAGACCCGAAACCCGGUGAUCUAGCCAUGGGCAGGUUGAAGGUUGGGUAACACUAACUGGAGGACCGAACCGACUAAUGUUGAAAAAUUAGCGGAUGACCUGUGGCUGGGGGUGAAAGGCCAAUCAAACCGGGAGAUAGCUGGUUCUCCCCGAAAGCUAUUUAGGUAGCGCCUCGUGAAUUCAUCUCCGGGGGUAGAGCACUGUUUCGGCUAGGGGGCCAUCCCGGCUUACCAACCCGAUGCAAACUGCGAAUACCGGAGAAUGUUAUCACGGGAGACACACGGCGGGUGCUAACGUCCGUCGUGAAGAGGGAAACAACCCAGACCGCCAGCUAAGGUCCCAAAGUCAUGGUUAAGUGGGAAACGAUGUGGGAAGGCCCAGACAGCCAGGAUGUUGGCUUAGAAGCAGCCAUCAUUUAAAGAAAGCGUAAUAGCUCACUGGUCGAGUCGGCCUGCGCGGAAGAUGUAACGGGGCUAAACCAU
Molecule: ribosomal RNA, 536 nt
Filed under: Salmonella enterica
Lineage: Bacteria; Pseudomonadati; Pseudomonadota; Gammaproteobacteria; Enterobacterales; Enterobacteriaceae
Also listed under: 1 other name
Description: partial 23S ribosomal RNA
Rfam family: Bacterial large subunit ribosomal RNA
Source: RNAcentral